ACGCUCGACACCUACGGGAGACAGCAGUGGGGAAUAUUGCACAAUGGGGGAAACCCUGAUGCAGCGACGCCGCGUGGAGGAAGAAGGUCUUCGGAUUGUAAACUCCUGUUGUUGGGGAAAAGAGGAUGGUACCCAACAAGGAAGUGACGGCUAACUACGUGCCAGCAGCCGCGGUAAUCUGAGCGGGCUGGCAAGGC
Molecule: ribosomal RNA, 197 nt
Filed under: uncultured bacterium
Lineage: Bacteria
Description: partial 16S ribosomal RNA
Rfam family: Bacterial small subunit ribosomal RNA
Source: RNAcentral